RNAcentral lists this long non-coding RNA (1274 nucleotides) under Homo sapiens (human). Its description in RNAcentral is "HSALNT0408954". Lineage: Eukaryota; Metazoa; Chordata; Mammalia; Primates; Hominidae. The record is from RNAcentral.
UUCCUGCCAUCACGUGAAGAAGGACACGUUUCGUUCCCCUCCUUCCAUGAUUGUAAGUUUCCUGAGGCCUUCCCAGCCAUGCAGAACUGUGAGGUGUCAGAUCCCCGGCGAUGGAAAGCAGUCAACUCAUGGGUAGUAAAAAGAAUGUAUUGACAACACUAUAGGUUUGAAAAGGAAAGUUUUAUUAGAUGGAAAGAACAGUGCAGAAGACCGCAGCAGAGGACCUCAGCAAGAGAGAACUAAGAGGAGAUUGCAGAUGGAGGUGUUGUAUGUGACUGUUUUACAUGGAUUCUUCGCUCUGGUAGCAGAUGUUGAAGAAGCUCUAUGAAUGUCCUGUCUCUAUGUCCCAGUUUGUCAGUUUCAAAUACUCAUGUAUCUGAUUGUCAAUGCUGGAGAGCUGGGGCCAGGGCAGUAGUUGAUGAAUAUCACCUGACUGUCUCCUGCAGAAAAAGCAUUCCCAGAAGCACGGAGAAGUGAGGAGAAAAGGCAAUGCACCUGGAGCUGGAGACCAAGGCCCUGUUCUUACUGAUGGCCCUUGGAGCAGAUAUUUGAAUUGGAGAGAUAAAACCGUGGUUUUUGGGGUGUUAAUUUUGGUGGCUGAUGCAUUCUGUGAUUGAUUUGGCUAUUACAACUGGUAUUGAUUUUAAACACAUUAAUUGCAAAAUCUCAAUUGUGAUUUGAUUUCUGUAUUUACAAUACUAAAAACGAGGCUUUCGCCAGGAGAAGACAAUUGGCAGUACUCAGUUGGAAGUGCUUAAUUGUUAAUAUAUAUCAGCCGUGGUUCUUCAGCGUCGUCAGUGUUGCUCAGUCUUGCUCUUUGUGGCGACUACUGAAUGCUUGAAAAAUUCUCUCCUAUACUCCCACUCUGCACUGUAGAAGAGAAAGAGAGGAGAGUGGAAGAAAAAAGAGAGGGAGAGGAGAAAGAAAGAGAGGAGAGAGAAACAUGGGCAUGGAUGAUACAUAAGGUAGUUGUAAACUGUGAUCAGCUUUGAUAAUAACUAGAUAAAUUCUUUUAAUACAAAAAUAUAUAAGGCAUUUUGCCUUUUUUUCAAAUUUCAAAUAAAUGGAUUUGUAUAGAAUGUAGUCUGUUGCCCAGAGUUUUCAUUUAGCAUAAUGCAUUUGAGAUUUAUCCAUGUUGUUGUAUAUUCUUUUUAUUGCUGAGUAGUAUUCCAUUGUGUGGAUAUACCAGUUUGUUUAUCCAUUAACCUUUGAUGGAUAUUUGGGUUUUUUUCAAUAUGAGGCUCUUAUAAAUAAACCUUCUGUAAUCAGGUCUU